ACGCUGGCGGCACGCCUAACACAUGCAAGUCGAACGAAGUAGCAAUACUUAGUGGCAGACGGGUGAGUAACAUGUAGGUAUCUGCCCUUUGGCCUGGAAUAACACGAGGAAACUUGUGCUAAUACCGGAUAAGUCUUUACGGAGAAAGCUUUAUGCACCAUUGGAUGAGCCUGCACUUGAUUAGUUUGUUGGUAGGGUAAUGGCCUACCAAGACUGUGAUCUAUAGCUGAUUUGAGAGGAUGAUCAGCCACAUUGGGACUGAGACACGGCCCAAACUCCUACGGGAGGCAGCAGUGGGGAAUCUUGCACAAUGGAGGAAACUCUGAUGCAGCGAUGCCGCGUGAGUGAAGAAGGCCUUUGGGUUGUAAAGCUCUUUCGUCGGGGAAGAAAAUGACUGUACCCGAAUAAGAAGGUCCGGCUAACUUCGUGCCAGCAGCCGCGGUAAUACGAAGGGACCUAGCGUAGUUCGGAAUUACUGGGCUUAAAGAGUUCGUAGGUGGUUGAAAAAGUUGGUGGUGAAAUCCCAGAGCUUAACUCUGGAACUGCCAUCAAAACUUUUCAGCUAGAGUAUGAUAGAGGAAAGCAGAAUUUCUAGUGUAGAGGUGAAAUUCGUAGAUAUUAGAAAGAAUACCAAUUGCGAAGGCAGCUUUCUGGAUCAUUACUGACACUGAGGAACGAAAGCAUGGGUAGCGAAGAGGAUUAGAUACCCUCGUAGUCCAUGCCGUAAACGAUGUGUGUUAGACGUUGGAAAUUUAUUUUCAGUGUCGCAGCGAAAGCGAUAAACACACCGCCUGGGGAGUACGACCGCAAGGUUAAAACUCAAAUGAAUUGACGGGGACCCGCACAAGUAGUGGAGCAUGUGGUUUAAUUCGAAGAUACGCGCAGAACCUUACCAACACUUGACAUGUUCGUCGCAACUUUAAGAGAUUAAAGUUUUCGGUUCGGCCGGACGAAACACAGGUGCUGCAUGGCUGUCGUCAGCUCGUGUCGUGAGAUGUUGGGUUAAGUCCCGCAACGAGCGCAACCCUCACUUUUAGUUGCCAUCAUUAAGUUGGGCACUCUGAAAGAACUGCCAGUGAUAAGCUGGAGGAAGGUGGGGAUGACGUCAAGUCCUCAUGGCCCUUACGUGUUGGGCUACACACGUGCUACAAUGGUAUUUACAACAGGAAGCAAGACUGCGAAGUUAAGCAAAUCCCUAAAAAAUACCUCAGUUCGGAUUGCACUCUGCAACUCGAGUGCAUGAGGCUGGAAUUACUAGUAAUCGUGGAUCAGCGUGCCACGGUGAAUGCGUUCCCGGGUCUUGUACACACCGC
Molecule: ribosomal RNA, 1313 nt
Filed under: uncultured Alphaproteobacteria bacterium
Lineage: Bacteria; Pseudomonadati; Pseudomonadota; Alphaproteobacteria
Description: uncultured alpha proteobacterium 16S ribosomal RNA
Rfam family: Bacterial small subunit ribosomal RNA
Source: RNAcentral